This 429-nucleotide ribosomal RNA is filed under the name Acidobacteriota bacterium. RNAcentral describes it as "Acidobacteria bacterium partial 16S ribosomal RNA". It matches the Rfam family "Bacterial small subunit ribosomal RNA", at positions 355 to 776 of the family's 1533-position model. Lineage: Bacteria; Pseudomonadati; Acidobacteriota. The record is from RNAcentral.
UGGGGAAUUUUGGACAAUGGGGGAAACCCUGAUCCAGCCAUCCCGCGUGUGCGAUGAAGGCCUUCGGGUUGUAAAGCACUUUUGGCAGGAAAGAAACGUCAUGGGUUAAUACCCCGUGAAACUGACGGUACCUGCAGAAUAAGCACCGGCUAACUACGUGCCAGCAGCCGCGGUAAUACGUAGGGUGCAAGCGUUAAUCAGAAUUACUGGGCGUAAAGCGUGCGCAGGCGGUUCGGAAAGAAAGAUGUGAAAUCCCAGAGCUCAACUUUGGAACUGCAUUUUUAACUACCGGGCUAGAGUGUGUCAGAGGGAGGUGGAAUUCCGCGUGUAGCAGUGAAAUGCGUAGAUAUGCGGAGGAACACCGAUGGCGAAGGCAGCCUCCUGGGAUAACACUGACGCUCAUGCACGAAAGCGUGGGGAGCAAACAGG